This 512-nucleotide ribosomal RNA is filed under the name Prisopus sp. FG. RNAcentral's name for it is "partial 16S ribosomal RNA". The stretch from base 387 to 512 matches the Rfam family "Bacterial large subunit ribosomal RNA", at positions 2473 to 2600 of the family's 2925-position model. The record is from RNAcentral. Lineage: Eukaryota; Metazoa; Arthropoda; Insecta; Phasmatodea; Prisopodidae.
AAAACAUCUCUUAUUGGUUUUAUAUUAAGUAUGACCUGCCCUAUGAAUGUUAAAUGGCUGCAGUAUUUUGACUGUACAAAGGUAGCAUAAUCAUUAGUUUAUUAAUUGUGAGCUUGUAUGAAUGGUUUGACGAAAUAUUAACUGUCUCAAUUUUAUUUUUAGAAUUUAAUUUUUUAGUUAGAAAGCUUAAAUUGUUUUAUUGGACGAGAAGACCCUAUAGAUCUUUAUUUUUAUUAUUUAGGGUUAUUUUUAGAUUAUUUAUUUAUUUUAAUUAUUAAAUUUUUUGUUGGGGUGACGGGAGGAUAUUAUUAACUCCUUUUAUUUGUAUAUAUUUAUUUAUGUUUUUUUUAUUUUUUAAUAUUGGAUUAAGAUAAAGAUACCUUAGGGAUAACAGCGUUAUUUUCUUUGGGAGCCCUUAUUAACAAGAAAGAUUGCGACCUCGAUGUUGGAUUAAGAAAAAUUAAGGUGCAGUAAUUUUAAUUUUAGGUCUGUUCGACCUUUUAAUUCUUACA